RNAcentral lists this transfer RNA (64 nucleotides) under Neochauliodes bachmanus. Its description in RNAcentral is "tRNA-His". Lineage: Eukaryota; Metazoa; Arthropoda; Insecta; Megaloptera; Corydalidae. The record is from RNAcentral.
AUUUAAAUAGUUUAAUUAAAAAUUUUGAUUUGUGGUAUCAAAGAUGUAGAGAAUACUUUAGAUU